AAUGCCGCGUGAGUGAUGAAGGUUUUCGGAUCGUAAAGCUCUGUUGCCAGGGAAGAACGCUUGGGAGAGUAACUGCUCUCAAGGUGACGGUACCUGAGAAGAAAGCCCCGGCUAACUACGUGCCAGCAGCCGCGGUAAUACGUAGGGGGCAAGCGUUGUCCGGAAUUAUUGGGCGUAAAGCGCGCGCAGGCGGUCAUUUAAGUCUGGUGUUUAAUCCCGGGGCUCAACCCCGGAUCGCACUGGAAACUGGGUGACUUGAGUGCAGAAGAGGAGAGUGGAAUUCCACGUGUAGCGGUGAAAUGCGUAGAUAUGUGGAGGAACACCAGUGGCGAAGGCGACUCUCUGGGCUGUAACUGACGCUGAGGCGCGAAAGCGUGGGGAGCAAACAGGAUUAGAUACCCUGGUAGUCCACGCCGUAAACGAUGAGUGCUAGGUGUUAGGGGUUUCGAUACCCUUGGUGCCGAAGUUAACACAUUAAGCACUCCGCCUGGGGAGUACGGU
This 501-nucleotide ribosomal RNA is filed under the name Paenibacillus amylolyticus. RNAcentral's name for it is "bacterial SSU rRNA". It matches the Rfam family "Bacterial small subunit ribosomal RNA", at positions 393 to 886 of the family's 1533-position model. The record is from RNAcentral. Lineage: Bacteria; Bacillati; Bacillota; Bacilli; Caryophanales; Paenibacillaceae.